UGACGUUGAUAGGCCGGGUGUGUAAGCGCAGCGAUGCGUUGAGCUAACCGGUACUAAUGAACCGUGAGGCUUAACCUUACAACGCCGAAG
RNAcentral lists this ribosomal RNA (90 nucleotides) under Klebsiella pneumoniae. RNAcentral's name for it is "partial 23S ribosomal RNA". The stretch from base 1 to 78 matches the Rfam family "Bacterial large subunit ribosomal RNA", at positions 2848 to 2925 of the family's 2925-position model. Lineage: Bacteria; Pseudomonadati; Pseudomonadota; Gammaproteobacteria; Enterobacterales; Enterobacteriaceae. The record is from RNAcentral. RNAcentral also lists the same sequence under 1 other name.